GGCGUAAGCGCGCGCAGGUGGUUUCUUAAGUCUGAUGUGAAAGCCCACGGCUCAACCGUGGAGGGGCAUUGGAAACUGGGAGACUUGAGUGCAGAAGAGGAAGGUGGAAUUCCAUGUGUAGCGGUGAAAUGCGUAGAGAUAUGGAGGAACACCAGUGGCGAAGGCGACUUUCUGGUCUGUAACUGACACUGAGGCGCGAAAGCGUGGGGAGCAAACAGGAUUAGAUACCCUGGUAGUCCACGCCGUAAACGAUGACUGCUAAGUGUUAGAGGGUUUCCGCCCUUUAUGGCUGAACUUAACGCAUUAAGCACUCCGCCGGGGGAGUACGGCCGCAAGGCUGAAACUCAAAGGAAUUGACGGGGGCCCGCACAAGCGGGGGAGCAGGUGGUUUAAUUCAAACCAACGCGAAAAACCUUACCAGGUCUUGACAUCCUAUGAAUUUCCUAAAAAU
Molecule: ribosomal RNA, 451 nt
Filed under: Bacillus cereus
Lineage: Bacteria; Bacillati; Bacillota; Bacilli; Caryophanales; Bacillaceae
Description: bacterial SSU rRNA
Rfam family: Bacterial small subunit ribosomal RNA
Source: RNAcentral